CAGUUUCUUCAUCGAGUGCUUGCACUCACCGAAGAAACUGAGUGGCGAACGGGUGAGUAACACGUGGGUAACCUGCCCAAAAGAGGGGGAUAACACUUGGAAACAGGUGCUAAUACCGCAUAACAACAAAAACCGCCUGGUUUUUGUUUAAAAGAUGGUUUCGGCUAUCACUUUUGGAUGGACCCGCGGCGUAUUAGCUAGUUGGUAAGGUAACGGCUUACCAAGGCAGUGAUACGUAGCCGAACUGAGAGGUUGAUCGGCCACAUUGGGACUGAGACACGGCCCAAACUCCUACGGGAGGCAGCAGUAGGGAAUCUUCCACAAUGGACGCAAGUCUGAUGGAGCAACGCCGCGUGAGUGAAGAAGGUUUUCGGAUCGUAAAACUCUGUUGUUAGAGAAGAACGUGUGUGAGAGUAACUGUUCAUGCAGUGACGGUAUCUAACCAGAAAGCCACGGCUAACUACGUGCCAGCAGCCGCGGUAAUACGUAGGUGGCAAGCGUUGUCCGGAUUUAUUGGGCGUAAAGGGAACGCAGGCGGUCUUUUAAGUCUGAUGUGAAAGCCUUCGGCUUAACCGAAGUCGUGCAUUGGAAACUGGGAGACUUGAGUGCAGAAGAGGAGAGUGGAACUCCAUGUGUAGCGGUGAAAUGCGUAGAUAUAUGGAAGAACACCAGUGGCGAAAGCGGCUCUCUGGUCUGUAACUGACGCUGAGGUUCGAAAGCGUGGGUAGCAAACAGGAUUAGAUACCCUGGUAGUCCACGCUGUAAACGAUGAAUGCUAAGUGUUGGAGGGUUUCCGCCCUUCAGUGCUGCAGCUAACGCAUUAAGCAUUCCGCCUGGGGAGUACGACCGCAAGGUUGAAACUCAAAGGAAUUGACGGGGGCCCGCACAAGCGGUGGAGCAUGUGGUUUAAUUCGAAGCAACGCGAAGAACCUUACCAGGUCUUGACAUCUUUUGCUAACCUGAGAGAUCAGGCGUUCCCUUCGGGGACAAAAUGACA
Molecule: ribosomal RNA, 997 nt
Filed under: Liquorilactobacillus satsumensis
Lineage: Bacteria; Bacillati; Bacillota; Bacilli; Lactobacillales; Lactobacillaceae
Description: bacterial SSU rRNA
Rfam family: Bacterial small subunit ribosomal RNA
Source: RNAcentral